AUUGAACGCUGGCGGCAGGCUUAACACAUGCAAGUCGAGCGGGGAGAUGUAGGUUGCUACAUUUCCUAGCGGCGGACGGGUGAGUAAUGCUUAGGAAUCUGCCUAUUAGUGGGGGACAACAUUCCGAAAGGAAUGCUAAUACCGCAUACGCCCUACGGGGGAAAGCAGGGGAUCUUCGGACCUUGCGCUAAUAGAUGAGCCUAAGUCAGAUUAGCUAGUUGGUGGGGUAAAGGCCUACCAAGGCGACGAUCUGUAGCGGGUCUGAGAGGAUGGUCCGCCACACUGGGACUGGGCCACGGCCCAGACUCCUACGGGAGGCAGCAGUGGGGAAUAUUGGACAAUGGGCGAAAGCCUGAUCCAGCCAUGCCGCGUGUGUGAAGAGGGCCUUUUGGUUGUAAAGCACUUUAAGCGAGGAGGAGGCUACUUGGAUUAAUACUCUAGGAUAGUGGACGUUACUCGCAGAAUAAGCACCGGCUAACUCUGUGCCAGCCGCCGCAGUAA
This 501-nucleotide ribosomal RNA is filed under the name uncultured bacterium. RNAcentral describes it as "partial 16S ribosomal RNA". It matches the Rfam family "Bacterial small subunit ribosomal RNA", at positions 30 to 523 of the family's 1533-position model. The record is from RNAcentral.